Pseudopipra pipra is the source of this 3098-nucleotide long non-coding RNA. RefSeq lists it as uncharacterized. The transcript is spliced from 2 exons. Lineage: Eukaryota; Metazoa; Chordata; Aves; Passeriformes; Pipridae. The record is from RefSeq and is a predicted model, not a curated record.
UUUCGUGCUGAGUGCAAUGCAGCAUAUGGGUUAUGCCAUCUUGUGCAAUGCAUGACCACAUAUUAAUAUACACAGAAACAAGCUGAACUGGAAUUCCAGUUCCCCAUACUCCCAUCUGAUAAACACAAAUGAAGCCCAAUAGAACAUGAUUUUGCCCUCCUGACUAUACCAAUAACCAUCCCACAUCCUCUAGAAAGUUCUUUCAGAGUGCAUUUAUAGGAUAAAGUUUUCCCACUAAAAAUUGCUGCAGGAACAUUCUUAUUCAUCAAAACAAGAAAUCAAGUGGCUGCUGCUUCUUGAAAAACAUGAAGACAUUGUUGUGAACAUUGCUCUAGUAUUUACAGGGGGAAGAAAAAAAUAGCAGCCUUUUAGAGAGCUUUAACUCAAAUCCCCAAGAGCAGCAGUGUUGCCUCCAGCCUAAAGCUGAUGUCGUUUUUGAUCCUAAGCCUUGCAAUCUGAAGCUAUCCUGUGGUUCUGCAGUUGUGUUUGUUUUGGAAGACACACAACAAAUAACAAGAGGAAGGAUACAUGAGUUAGCACAGAGAGCUACAGGGAAAGUUGUUGCAGCUCCAAGGAGGGGGGAACUUUGUGCAUGUGGCCUCUGAAAACCAAAAAAAUGUCUGUAGAUAAUAUUUGCUUUUUCUACACUUCCUUGGGCAAACAAAAAUAAAAGGCAGAGGAAAAUGAGUUUUUUUAAAAACUAUAGCCCUUGGCUACUACAGAUCAGAUACUGUUUUAGUCAUUUGAUCUACUGAGGAGGAGAGCAGAAAGUUUUAGCCUCAAACUCCUAGAGAAGGUUGUAGAGCAGACAGGAAAUCCUUACUGUAAAUGAGAAUCUGUUGUAAACUAGUUGAAAUGCUGAAGUUCUGUUCUAGGGGAGAAAAAAUAUUAGCCAUCUGAAUUUGCUUCCAUCUCAGUUGGAUGAAAAGUUAGAAUUCAUACUCCCCCAUAUACCAAGUAUUCCCCAAAGUUGAGUUCUGGGAAUACCAAAGUGGCCUUAUCAGAACAUUUCAUUUGAGUGAAGUCACAGCAUUUUGUCUUGAUAAAGUCAACAGACUUUGUUUCAGUUUUUGAUCUGGAAGUUCUUUGACACAGAGAAUGAUGGAAACUUGUUCUUUGGAGGAUGUGUUGCUCCCUGAAAAAUCCCAUGAAUUGUUUUUUCAAGCAAGCUGGGGCAGAAGUAGUUAGUUGGAAUCUAACUCUGCAAUGACAGGCAGCUUCAUAGUAAUCCAAAAGCCACUAAAGCAUUCUAGUAAGGGGCAGUAUUAAGAGUGGCAGCUGCUUGAAAAUCCUUAGUGCUGGCAAGGAGAUCAGUAAUGACAUUUUAUAUGUAUAUAUCUACAUAUAUCUAUAUAGCUAUAUAUGUCUCUCUAUAUCUUUUUUUCUGCUACAGUAUCAUGAAAUCUAUUGAAAAACUGAUAUAUUUUUCAGUUGCAUUUUAAAUAAGCAUGAUUAAGCAGACAAGGUCAAAGAAAGCUAGUACCUGGGCAAUUAAUUGUGACCAGUCACUCGUUUUAAGUUGUAACUAGCAGUUGUUACCCUGAGGUCAACUCCUUUAGAAAAUGCCAGGAUAGCCUUGCCAAGCAGCCAACAGCCAGGGCUGUGGGAUGAAAAUAAAAGUGUUACAAGAAGUAAUGAUGAAAGUAUUACAAGUAGAUUAAAUGUUCAUCAGUGGGAAGAAGGUGAGAAAGAGGUCUCAAGGGAAUUAUAAAGACAGCAAGCUCAGGAACCUGCAAGCAAGGAAGAAUGGGAUUCUGACUAAGAACAAGUGAAAACCCAUUAUCUUAGCCCAAGAAUCACUGCUAAUUUUCAUGAAAAUAAAAUCAGAGGCAGAUCCAAAUAUUCACUAAUUAUUAAAGAGAUAAUUAAAAAAGGUUGUGUGACUAAGUGCAAGUGAAAUUUCACAGGUGAGUGGGUAAGGGAGAGAGGGACUAUUUGCCACAACUGAUAAAAACAAAGUGCACAGAAGAAGCAAAAAAAGAAGAUUGAGGACAACAGUGAAUAACUGCAAUUGAGCUCUUAGUGGAAACAGACUAAUUUCAUGUUCUACAAGCGAAAGACAUGAAAUAUGUACUCUAUUAUCUGAUCUGAUACCGAGAGGAGGGCAGUUAUUUUAAAGGAGAUUCAUAUGGUUGAUAGCAAGAAAGGAAAUAAGGACAAGUUUAAAUUAAGACAUGGGAAACCAGGGAGUAACAAAAUAACAAACGCUGUCAAGGAGAUGGACUGGAUGACCUUGCAGGUCUUCUCAAUCACAUGCUUCCUGGACUCCUUAUGAAGAGAACAGAGUCUCAGUAGCAGAUAUUUAAGAUAUCACGUUAGUAGCCAACUUCAGGAGACUUGUCCAGCUACAAACAAUCUGCUUUUCUGCAACCUCUUUGUAGUUUUAGAACAAUGAAGUUACUAAAAUGCAGCUCUGAGUUUUAUCAAAGCAUGUCUUUAAAAUACUGGCAAUAAGCAGAGGUGCAGCUUUUCUCUUCUUAUUGCCUAAGUGUGGUGGUAUCUGAGUUGUGAAUAAUUUUGGUGUUUUUCCAGCUGCUUUGCGUGCCUUUGGCAAAACAGGCAUUACUGCUGGAAAACAGAGCUGCGCUUCACCCCCUAAUUUCCUUCUCUGUUGGGUAACCCUCUCACUCAAACCCCAGAACCUGCACAAGAAGAAUUUUAGAAUCCCCCUUCAGGGGGGUUCUACUAUCAUCAUCAUCAUCAUCAUCAAAGAACUGAGUACCAGGCAUGCCUUCUAAUGAAGGACAUACAGGAAGUGGUAGACCAAUGAAGGACAACAGGAGUGUAGAGUCAGUUUCCUGCAGGAGCCUGUCCCUGUUUUGGUUUAAACAACAGACCUUGAUGAUCUUGAAGCUGUUUUUCCAGAACCCUUUGGAGAGAGAGGUUUUGUACUAACAAACUCCAGACAACGACUCCAGGCAAUGUUUACUAGUCCUGUGGUGCAUUGACUUGCUUGUCAGUGUUUGUAAACUUCAGUCAGUUCCUCCUGGGUCUCUGAAAAGCUGCUACAGCCCCCCAGUGGUGCAGUUGACACUCAGCUCCUCCAAUCUGUCCUUUGCUGGGACAAAUCUCAGUAGUAAACUAAUUUGAAACCAGGA